This 422-nucleotide ribosomal RNA is filed under the name uncultured bacterium. Its description in RNAcentral is "bacterial SSU rRNA". It matches the Rfam family "Bacterial small subunit ribosomal RNA", at positions 355 to 775 of the family's 1533-position model. The record is from RNAcentral.
UGAGGAAUAUUGGUCAAUGGACGAGAGUCUGAACCAGCCAAGUAGCGUGAAGGAUGACUGCCCUAUGGGUUGUAAACUUCUUUUAUAAGGGAAUAAAGUGAGGGACGUGUCCCUUUUUGUAUGUACCUUAUGAAUAAGGAUCGGCUAACUCCGUGCCAGCAGCCGCGGUAAUACGGAGGAUCCAAGCGUUAUCCGGAUUUAUUGGGUUUAAGGGAGCGUAGGUUGACAUAUAAGUCAGCUGUGAAAGUUUACGGCUCAACCGUGAAAUUGCAGUUGAUACUGUAUGUCUUGAGUGUACAAGAGGUGGGCGGAAUUCGUGGUGUAGCGGUGAAAUGCUUAGAUAUCACGAAGAACUCCAAUUGCGAAGGCAGCUCACUGGGGUACAACUGACACUGAGGCUCGAAAGUGUGGGUAUCAAACAG